RNAcentral lists this ribosomal RNA (609 nucleotides) under Clarireedia homoeocarpa. RNAcentral's name for it is "eukaryotic LSU rRNA". The stretch from base 237 to 390 matches the Rfam family "5.8S ribosomal RNA". Lineage: Eukaryota; Fungi; Ascomycota; Leotiomycetes; Helotiales; Rutstroemiaceae. The record is from RNAcentral.
GGAAGUAAAAGUCGUAACAAGGUUUCCGUAGGUGAACCUGCGGAAGGAUCAUUACCGAGUUCACGCCCUCACGGGUAGACCUCCAACCCUUGUGUAUCUCUACCAUGUUGCUUUGGCCGGCUGCUCGACCCUUCGGGGGACAGCCUCAGCGCCCUCCGGGGCCCGAGAGUCGCCGGCCGGAGGAAAACCACAACUCUGAAUUGUCAGUGUCGUCUGAGUGACUAUCUAAUAGUUAAAACUUUCAACAACGGAUCUCUUGGUUCUGGCAUCGAUGAAGAACGCAGCGAAAUGCGAUAAGUAAUGUGAAUUGCAGAAUUCAGUGAAUCAUCGAAUCUUUGAACGCACAUUGCGCCCCUUGGUAUUCCGGGGGGCAUGCCUGUUCGAGCGUCAUUUCAACCCUCAAGCUCUGCUUGGUCUUGGGCCUGCGCCGGUCACACGGCGGGCCUCAAAGUCAGUGGCGGUGCCGCUGGGUCCUGAACGUAGUAACACAUACCUCUCGUUACAGGGUCCCCGCGCGCGCCCGCCGUAAAACCCCCCCUCAUUUUCGCUGGUUGACCUCGGAUCAGGUAGGGAUACCCGCUGAACUUAAGCAUAUCAAUAAGCGGAGGA